CAUAGGAACUUCCGCAUGGACGAAAGUCUGACGGAGCAACGCCGCGUGAGUGAUGAAGGUUUUCGGAUCGUAAAACUCUGUUGUUAGGGAAGAACAAGUACCGUUCGAAUAGGGCGGUACCUUGACGGUACCUAACCAGAAAGCCACGGCUAACUACGUGCCAGCAGCCGCGGUAAUACGUAGGUGGCAAGCGUUGUCCGGAAUUAUUGGGCGUAAAGCGCGCGCAGGCGGUCUUUUAAGUCUGAUGUGAAAGCCCCCGGCUCAACCGGGGAGGGUCAUUGGAAACUGGGAGACUUGAGUGCAGAAGAGGAGAGUGGAAUUCCACGUGUAGCGGUGAAAUGCGUAGAGAUGUGGAGGAACACCAGUGGCGAAGGCGACUCUCUGGUCUGUAACUGACGCUGAGGCGCGAAAGCGUGGGGAGCGAACAGGAUUAGAUACCCUGGUAGUCCACGCCGUAAACGAUGAGUGCUAAGUGUUAGAGGGUUUCCGCCCUUUAGUGCUGCAGCAANCGCAUUAAGCACUCCNCCUGGGGAGUACGGCC
This 541-nucleotide ribosomal RNA is filed under the name Bacillus licheniformis. RNAcentral describes it as "bacterial SSU rRNA". It matches the Rfam family "Bacterial small subunit ribosomal RNA", at positions 355 to 887 of the family's 1533-position model. Lineage: Bacteria; Bacillati; Bacillota; Bacilli; Caryophanales; Bacillaceae. The record is from RNAcentral.